AGGAUGAACGCUGGCGGCGUGCCUAACACAUGCAAGUCGAACGAGUCGCAAGACUAGUGGCGAACGGGUGAGUAACGCGUAGGAAUCUGCCCCGAACAGGGAAAUACCCAGCCGAAAGGUUGGCUAAUGUCCCAUAAUCUCGCAAGAGCAAAGGCGUAAGCCGGUUUGGGAGGAGCCUGCGUCCUAUCAGCUAGUUGGUGAGGUAAUGGCUCACCAAGGCUAUGACGGGUAGCUGGUCUGAGAGGAUGAUCAGCCACAAUGGAACUGAGACACGGUCCAUACACCUACGGGUGGCAGCAGUUGGGAAUAUUGCACAAUGGGCGAAAGCCUGAUGCAGCGACGCCGCGUGGAGGAAGAAGGCCUUCGGGUUGUAAACUUCUUUUAUGUGGGACGAUAAUGACGGUACCACAUGAAUAAGGGCCUGCUAACUACGCGCCAGCAGCCGC
This 446-nucleotide ribosomal RNA is filed under the name uncultured bacterium. Its description in RNAcentral is "SSU rRNA". It matches the Rfam family "Bacterial small subunit ribosomal RNA", at positions 26 to 518 of the family's 1533-position model. The record is from RNAcentral.